CACCAAGAAAUUAAGUUAUAUAUUUUAUGGUAAAAAGACAGUUAGAUGUUAUUUUGUUUUAGGUCAAUUUUAAUGCUUUGUAUAGAGGUAAAAUUUAAGUAUAAUUGUAUAAUUUGUUUAUGGCUUGUAGGUUGAGUCUGUGAAAUCCUUAUGGGAAACUGGGAUUAGGUACCCCAUUAUUUUUGGAUAUAAAAUUAAUUAGAUUUACCGGAGUACUAUGAAUAGAAAAAUUUAAAACUCAAAGAACUUGGCGGUGUUUUAGACCCCUCAGGGGAACCUGUCUCGUAAUCGAUAGUCCACGUUGUACCUGACCUCUUUUUGUUUUCAGUUUGUAUACCGUUGUCGUCAGGUAACUUUUUAGAAAUUAGAAGUUAGCGGUGGAAAUGAGAGUGAUUUAAUACGUCAAAUCAAGGUGCAGCUAAUAAAGAGGGGAGGAUGGGUUACAAUUAUAUGAUUUGUAAUGACGGAUAAAUGUAUGAAAUGUGUAUUAAAUUGUAAGGCGGACUUGAAAGUAAAUUAGAUUAUGUAAAUAGUUUGAAUAUGGCUCUGAAACGUGU
RNAcentral lists this ribosomal RNA (557 nucleotides) under Profunditerebra poppei. Its description in RNAcentral is "Clathroterebra poppei partial 12S ribosomal RNA". Lineage: Eukaryota; Metazoa; Mollusca; Gastropoda; Neogastropoda; Terebridae. The record is from RNAcentral.